Long non-coding RNA from Pseudophryne corroboree (corroboree frog), 351 nucleotides. RefSeq lists it as uncharacterized. The record is from RefSeq and is a predicted model, not a curated record. The transcript is spliced from 4 exons. Lineage: Eukaryota; Metazoa; Chordata; Amphibia; Anura; Myobatrachidae.
CUAAAAUUAUACAAAGAGCGGAUACAGUAUAAGCAGCAAGAUGGUAACGACAACUGUCCAGGAGCAGCAUGUUAUUCCAACUCCAAGAAACAGACUACGUCACUGAUUCCAACUCCAAGAAACAGACUACUUCACUGCUCCAGCUGUGUUAAAGAUGGCAAUUCCUGCUACCGCACAAGCAAGCCACAUCCCUGAUAAGGAAGGGAACUGCGUCUGAACCAGCUGACCAGCACUAGGAGUCCGUGCUUUCCACUGACUGGAUUCCAGCAGUGUGCACUAUGGAAAAGUGGGGAUAGUUGCAGCACCAACUUUUUUUUCCCAAUCAGUGACUGUGAGGCUCCUGCUAUUCAU